UGGGGAAUAUUGCACAAUGGGCGCAAGCCUGAUGCAGCCAUGCCGCGUGUAUGAAGAAGGCCUUCGGGUUGUAAAGUACUUUCAGCGGGGAGGAAGGGAGUAAAGUUAAUACCUUUGCCCAUUGACGUUACCCGCAGAAGAAGCACCGGCUAACUCCGUGCCAGCAGCCGCGGUAAUACGGAGGGUGCAAGCGUUAAUCGGAAUUACUGGGCGUAAAGCGCACGCAGGCGGUUUGUUAAGUCAGAUGUGAAAUCCCCGGGCUCAACCUGGGAACUGCAUCUGAUACUGGCAAGCUUGAGUCUCGUGGAGGGGGGUAGAAUUCCAGGUGUAGCGGUGAAAUGCGUAGGAGUCUGGGGGAAUACCGGUGGCGAAGGCGGCCCCCUGGACGAAGACUGACGCUCAGGUGCGAAAGCGUGGGGAGCAAACAGG
RNAcentral lists this ribosomal RNA (429 nucleotides) under Chloroflexota bacterium. RNAcentral's name for it is "Chloroflexi bacterium partial 16S ribosomal RNA". It matches the Rfam family "Bacterial small subunit ribosomal RNA", at positions 355 to 776 of the family's 1533-position model. The record is from RNAcentral. Lineage: Bacteria; Bacillati; Chloroflexota.